Vicia faba (fava bean) is the source of this 351-nucleotide non-coding RNA. The record is from the annotation of a GenBank genome assembly. Lineage: Eukaryota; Viridiplantae; Streptophyta; Magnoliopsida; Fabales; Fabaceae.
AUGGUACCCUGGAUUUUCUUGGCUUCAUUAGGGUGCAUUGUUUUGGUGAAGUUCCACGAUGUAGAGAUAUACCAUUGUCCACGUGGUAUUAAAGAAGUUGUUUCAUGUUUGCAUCAAUGUGACUGCAGUGUCCACCUUGUUUGGGCAUGGUGGAAUUGCAGCUCAGUCUUCAGUGUAAAUACUAAAAUGAGGAAAGUGUGCCCAUCGUUUUGCACCGAUUUAAGAAAAGUUCCUGAUCCGAUAGAUUAUAUAUCAAUGCUAAUGGUAACACAUUUCUUUAUCACAUACUUUUCGCAAAACAAUGAUAUUCAUUUUUUUGGGGUAAUUUUGCCACAAGCAUGUUCGUCCUAA